GACGAACGCUGGCGGCGUGCUUAACACAUGCAAGUCGAACGGAAAGGCCCUGCUUUUGUGGGGUGCUCGAGUGGCGAACGGGUGAGUAACACGUGAGUAACCUGCCCUUGACUUUGGGAUAACUUCAGGAAACUGGGGCUAAUACCGGAUAGGAGCUCCUGCUGCAUGGUGGGGGUUGGAAAGUUUCGGCGGUUGGGGAUGGACUCGCGGCUUAUCAGCUUGUUGGUGGGGUAGUGGCUUACCAAGGCUUUGACGGGUAGCCGGCCUGAGAGGGUGACCGGCCACAUUGGGACUGAGAUACGGCCCAGACUCCUACGGGAGGCAGCAGUGGGGAAUAUUGCACAAUGGGCGGAAGCCUGAUGCAGCAACGCCGCGUGCGGGAUGACGGCCUUCGGGUUGUAAACCGCUUUCGCCUGUGACGAAGCGUGAGUGACGGUAAUGGGUAAAGAAGCACCGGCUAACUACGUGCCAGCAGCCGCGGUGAUACGUAGGGUGCGAGCGUUGUCCGGAUUUAUUGGGCGUAAAGGGCUCGUAGGUGGUUGAUCGCGUCGGAAGUGUAAUCUUGGGGCUUAACCCUGAGCGUGCUUUCGAUACGGGUUGACUUGAGGAAGGUAGGGGAGAAUGGAAUUCCUGGUGGAGCGGUGGAAUGCGCAGAUAUCAGGAGGAACACCAGUGGCGAAGGCGGUUCUCUGGGCCUUUCCUGACGUUGAGGAGCGAAAGCGUGGGGAGCGAACAGGCUUAGAUACCCUGGUAGUCCACGCUGUAAACGGUGGGUACUAGGUGUGGGGUCCAUUCCACGGGUUCCGUGCCGUAGCUAACGCUUUAAGUACCCCGCCUGGGGAGUACGGCCGCAAGGCUAAAACUCAAAGGAAUUGACGGGGCCCCGCACAAGCGGCGGAGCAUGCGGAUUAAUUCGAUGCAACGCGUAGAACCUUACCUGGGUUUGACAUGGAUCGGGAGUGCUCAGAGAUGGGUGUGCCUCUUUUGGGGUCGGUUCACAGGUGGUGCAUGGCUGUCGUCAGCUCGUGUCGUGAGAUGUUGGGUUAAGUCCCGCAACGAGCGCAACCCUUGUUCACUGUUGCCAGCACGUUAUGGUGGGGACUCAGUGGAGACCGCCGGGGUCAACUCGGAGGAAGGUGGGGAUGACGUCAAGUCAUCAUGCCCCUUAUGUCCAGGGCUUCACGCAUGCUACAAUGGCUGGUACAGAGAGUGGCGAGCCUGUGAGGGUGAGCGAAUCUCGGAAAGCCGGUCUCAGUUCGGAUUGGGGUCUGCAACUCGACCUCAUGAAGUCGGAGUCGCUAGUAAUCGCAGAUCAGCAACGCUGCGGUGAAUACGUUCCCGGGACU
Molecule: ribosomal RNA, 1346 nt
Filed under: uncultured bacterium
Lineage: Bacteria
Description: partial 16S ribosomal RNA
Rfam family: Bacterial small subunit ribosomal RNA
Source: RNAcentral